RNAcentral lists this ribosomal RNA (469 nucleotides) under uncultured bacterium. RNAcentral's name for it is "bacterial SSU rRNA". It matches the Rfam family "Bacterial small subunit ribosomal RNA", at positions 28 to 496 of the family's 1533-position model. The record is from RNAcentral.
GACGAACGCUGGCGGCGUGCCUAACACAUGCAAGUCAACUUGACUGAAGGAGCAAUCUGACAGUAGAGUGGCGCAAGGGUGCGUAACGCGUAAGUAACUUGCCCCAAGGUAAGGAAUAACGUCGAGAAAUCGGCGCUAAUACCUCAUAAUGCAGCGGAUCCACAUGGAUAUGUUGUUAAAGGUUUACCGCCUUGGGAUAGGCUUGCGUCUGAUUAGCUAGUUGGUGUGGUAACGGCACACCAAGGCUACGAUCAGUAACUGGUCUGAGAGGAUGAUCAGUCACACUGGAACUGAGACACGGUCCAGACUCCUACGGGAGGCAGCAGUGAGGAAUAUUGGGCAAUGCUCGAAAGAGUGACCCAGCAACGCCGCGUGGAGGAUGAAGGUAUUCUAUAUCGUAAACUCCUGUGAGAGCAGACGAAAGACAGAUUAUUAAUCUGGAUGACUGUAUGCUCAGAGGAAGCCCCGG